AGCAGCCGCGGUAAUUCCAGCUCCAAUAGCGUAUAUUAAAGUUGUUGCAGUUAAAAGCUCGUAGUUGAAUUUCGGGAUCAGUAUGUUGGUCGUGCUUCGGUACGUACUGUCAUUACUGGUUUCUACCUUCUGAAGAACCUUGAUGUCAUUAAUUUGGUGUCUUGGGGAAUCAGGACUGUUACUUUGAAAAAAUUAGAGUGUUUAAAGCAAGCAUACGCUUGAAUACAUUAGCAUGGAAUAAUGAAAUGGGACGUUUGAUUCUAUUUUGUUGGUUUCUAGGAUCGACGUAAUGAUUAAUAGGGAUAGUUGGGGGCAUUAGUAUUCAAUUGUCGGAGGUGAAAUUCUUGGAUUUAUUGAAGACU
This 362-nucleotide ribosomal RNA is filed under the name uncultured Glomus. RNAcentral's name for it is "SSU rRNA". It matches the Rfam family "Eukaryotic small subunit ribosomal RNA", at positions 569 to 937 of the family's 1831-position model. Lineage: Eukaryota; Fungi; Glomeromycota; Glomeromycetes; Glomerales; Glomeraceae. The record is from RNAcentral.